CGACGCUGGCGGCGUGCCUAAUACAUGCAAGUCGAGCGGACAGAUGGGAGCUUGCUCCCUGAUGUUAGCGGCGGACGGGUGAGUAACACGUGGGUAACCUGCCUGUAAGACUGGGAUAACUCCGGGAAACCGGGGCUAAUACCGGAUGGUUGUCUGAACCGCAUGGUUCAGACAUAAAAGGUGGCUUCGGCUACCACUUACAGAUGGACCCGCGGCGCAUUAGCUAGUUGGUGAGGUAACGGCUCACCAAGGCGACGAUGCGUAGCCGACCUGAGAGGGUGAUCGGCCACACUGGGACUGAGACACGGCCCAGACUCCUACGGGAGGCAGCAGUAGGGAAUCUUCCGCAAUGGACGAAAGUCUGACGGAGCAACGCCGCGUGAGUGAUGAAGGUUUUCGGAUCGUAAAGCUCUGUUGUUAGGGAAGAACAAGUGCCGUUCAAAUAGGGCGGCACCUUGACGGUACCUAACCAGAAAGCCACGGCUAACUACGUGCCAGCAGCCGCGGUAAUACGUAGGUGGCAAGCGUUGUCCGGAAUUAUUGGGCGUAAAGGGCUCGCAGGCGGUUUCUUAAGUCUGAUGUGAAAGCCCCCGGCUCAACCGGGGAGGGUCAUUGGAAACUGGGGAACUUGAGUGCAGAAGAGGAGAGUGGAAUUCCACGUGUAGCGGUGAAAUGCGUAGAGAUGUGGAGGAACACCAGUGGCGAAGGCGACUCUCUGGUCUGUAACUGACGCUGAGGAGCGAAAGCGUGGGGAGCGAACAGGAUUAGAUACCCUGGUAGUCCACGCCGUAAACGAUGAGUGCUAAGUGUUAGGGGGUUUCCGCCCCUUAGUGCUGCAGCUAACGCAUUAAGCACUCCGCCUGGGGAGUACGGUCGCAAG
RNAcentral lists this ribosomal RNA (880 nucleotides) under Bacillus amyloliquefaciens group sp. Its description in RNAcentral is "bacterial SSU rRNA". It matches the Rfam family "Bacterial small subunit ribosomal RNA", at positions 31 to 892 of the family's 1533-position model. The record is from RNAcentral. Lineage: Bacteria; Bacillati; Bacillota; Bacilli; Caryophanales; Bacillaceae.